RNAcentral lists this ribosomal RNA (497 nucleotides) under uncultured bacterium. RNAcentral describes it as "partial 16S ribosomal RNA". It matches the Rfam family "Bacterial small subunit ribosomal RNA", at positions 28 to 507 of the family's 1533-position model. The record is from RNAcentral.
GAUGAACGCUGGCGGCGUGCCUAAUACAUGCAAGUCGAGCGAACGGACGAGAAGCUUGCUUCUCUGAUGUUAGCGGCGGACGGGUGAGUAACACGUGGAUAACCUACCUAUAAGACUGGGAUAACUUCGGGAAACCGGAGCUAAUACCGGAUAAUAUUUUGAACCGCAUGGUUCAAAAGUGAAAGACGGUCUUGCUGUCACUUAUAGAUGGAUCCGCGCUGCAUUAGCUAGUUGGUAAGGUAACGGCUUACCAAGGCAACGAUGCAUAGCCGACCUGAGAGGGUGAUCGGCCACACUGGAACGGAGACACGGUCCAGACUCCUACGGGAGGCAGCAGUAGGGAAUCUUCCGCAGUGGGCGAAAGCCUGACGGAGCAACGCCGCGUGAGUGAUGAAGGUCUUCGGAUCGUAAAACUCUGUUAUGAGGGAAGAACAUAUGUGUAAGUAACUGUGCACAUCUUGACGGUACCUAAUCAGAAAGCCACGGCUAACUACGUG